CAGCCCCUCGAGUGGUGGGGAUGAUUAUUUGGCCUAAAGCGUCCGUAGCCGGCCGUGUAAGUCCCCCGUUAAAUCCAGCGUCUCAAGCGUUGGACUGCGGGAGAUACUGCUCGGCUAGAGAGUGGGAGAGGUCAGCGGUAUUCUGGGGGUAGGGGCGAAAUCCUUUGAUCCCCGGAGGACCACCAGUGGCGAAGGCUGCUGACUAGAACACGUCUGACGGUCAGGGACGAAAGCUGGGGUAGCGAACCGGAUUAGAUACCCGAGUAGUCC
Molecule: ribosomal RNA, 270 nt
Filed under: uncultured archaeon
Lineage: Archaea
Description: partial 16S ribosomal RNA
Rfam family: Archaeal small subunit ribosomal RNA
Source: RNAcentral